Molecule: ribosomal RNA, 440 nt
Filed under: uncultured bacterium
Lineage: Bacteria
Description: partial 16S ribosomal RNA
Rfam family: Bacterial small subunit ribosomal RNA
Source: RNAcentral
CCUACGGGAGACAGCAGUGGGGGAUAUUGCACAAUGGGCGAAAGCCUGAUGCAGCGACGCCGCGUGUGGGAAGACGGUCCUCUGGAUUGUAAACCUCUGUUGUCAGGGGCGAAGAUGACGGUACCUAGGCAGGAAGCACCGGCUAACUACGUGCCAGCAGCCGCGGUAAUACGUAGGGAGCGAGCGUUGUCCGGAAUUACUGGGUGUAAAGGGAGCGUAGGCGGUAUGUGAGGUUGGGGGUUAAAGCUAGGGGCUCAACUGGGAGUCGCAGUUGAAACUGGUGUUCUUGAGUGAAGUAGAGGCAGGCGGAAUGCGCAGUGUAGCGGUGAAAUGCGUAGAUAUUAGGAAGAACACCGGUGGCGAAGGCAGCCUACUGGGCGUUUACUGACGCUGAGGCUCGAAAGCGUGGGGAUCAAACAGGAUUAGAUACCCGAGUAGUC